ACGAACGCUGGCGGCGUGCCUAAUACAUGCAAGUCGAGCGAAGUUUUUCUGGUGCUUGCACUAGAAAAACUUAGCGGCGAACGGGUGAGUAACACGUAAAGAACCUGCCUCAUAGACUGGGACAACUAUUGGAAACGAUAGCUAAUACCGGAUAACAGCAUUAACUGCAUGGUUGAUGUUUAAAAGUUGGUUUUGCUAACACUAUGAGAUGGCUUUGCGGUGCAUUAGCUAGUUGGUGGGGUAAAGGCCUACCAAGGCGACGAUGCAUAGCCGACCUGAGAGGGUGAUCGGCCACACUGGGACUGAGACACGGCCCAGACUCCUACGGGAGGCAGCAGUAGGGAAUCUUCCGCAAUGGGCGAAAGCCUGACGGAGCAACGCCGCGUGAGUGAAGAAGGAUUUCGGUUCGUAAAGCUCUGUUGUUAGGGAAGAAUGAUUGUGUAGUAACUAUACACAGUAGAGACGGUACCUAACCAGAAAGCCACGGCUAACUACGU
RNAcentral lists this ribosomal RNA (497 nucleotides) under uncultured bacterium. RNAcentral describes it as "partial 16S ribosomal RNA". It matches the Rfam family "Bacterial small subunit ribosomal RNA", at positions 29 to 506 of the family's 1533-position model. The record is from RNAcentral.